GUUUUGUAUCUAGUUUUAUUUCCGCAGACCUUGUGUUCUAGAUCUUUUGUAAUACGGAUUUCUCUUUAUCUAUUCAGCAUUCAGUAUUCAGCUUUUGUUCUUGAUUUCGUUUAUUCUUGUUCAUUCUGUUAUCAUCCUGCUGUUAUACUGUUGUUAUCAUGUUUUCAACUUGUUCAACGUUUAUGCUUUCUGUUAUGAUGUCUGAGUAGUGAAUAGGUUUCUGAGGAUGGAUUAGGGUAGUGUAGAAUUCUCAGUAUGCUAGGUGAUUGAGUAUUGAUUGAUAGAUCCCUUCUGGAUUAGUUGUUCUUAAUGCCUAUUGCUUUCCAAUCAACUGGAAUUUGAGCCAAGACAUUUCCGCGCCCAAAAGGUGUUCGAUGAAAUGUCUGAACCACUAAUUACAGAG
This 403-nucleotide small RNA is filed under the name Arabidopsis thaliana (thale cress). Its description in RNAcentral is "ATSL201150". The record is from RNAcentral. Lineage: Eukaryota; Viridiplantae; Streptophyta; Magnoliopsida; Brassicales; Brassicaceae.